Non-coding RNA from Musa acuminata subsp. malaccensis (wild Malaysian banana), 637 nucleotides. NCBI's taxonomy places the organism in Eukaryota, Viridiplantae, Streptophyta, Magnoliopsida, Zingiberales, Musaceae. The record is from RefSeq and is a predicted model, not a curated record.
CCACAAGCAUCAGCAUGACGAUUCCCGAAACGAGUCCGAGGGUAGCCUUCUUCGCCUGCAGGCAAGCGCCGCUCGGUGUCGGCGGUGACACUGUGGGCGCAGACGGCGGAGGGACGGAGCCUGGGGUCGAAGAUGACGGCGGAAGCGCAGAAGGCGAGCGCGGGGAGGGAGCAACAGGGGGAGCGGGGGGUGGAGGAGGGAGAAGGAGGAGGUGUUGAGGUCGGGGAGGCGACGUCGAUCUGGAGCUUCAUGCCACCAGCGCAGUGUCCGGGAAUUCCGCAGACGAAGUACCUGGAGCCGGUGCUGUUGAGCGUGACGACGGUGUUGCCGCCGGUGCUCGUCGAUAUGGGGUUGCUCGUCGUGCACGAGCUGUAGGCGGCGCUCGACACCUCCAACACGUCAUGGCUCGACGCAUACUUGAAUGCUGCGUUCAAAAGGAGUAUAGCUUCUAAGAUAUUUAUGUUGCAAUAAAAAUGUGAAUUUAAUUAUAUACAAUAUUGAAUAUGAUUUUGAUUAAAUAUUGAGUUGUAGACAAUUAUAUUUUUAAUAAAAUAUAAAGUUUAGAUUAAACGAUCAAUUUAAUACGUUUAUUUUUUUACGCUUAACUAUCAAAGUGUUUACUAACUAAGCAAGCUGA